GCUUCCUCCCUCCUUCCUGCCCCUCAGGGCUUUGGCUGCUCUCUGCUCAGUCUCUGAAGGCCAGGAUGAGCUCCCCAUGGCAGCUGCUCUGGCUCCUGGUGCUCUGGGCUCAGGAUUCCCAAGGAGCCAUUGUGCUGACCCAGUCUCCAGCCUCCUUGUCCGCAUCUCCAGGAGAGAGAGUCACCAUCAGCUGCAAGGCCAGUGAGAGUGUUACUAUUUCUAGUUAUAGCUACUUAAACUGGUACCAGCAGAAACCUGGCCAAGUCCCCAGGCUCCUCAUCUACUUGGCUAACAGGCUGGCAUCUGGGGUCCCUGCCCGGUUCAGUGGCAGUGGGUCUGGGACAGAUUUCAGACUCACCAUCAGCAGCCUGGAGCCUGAGGACGCUGCACAUUAUUACUGUCAGCAGGGUAGGAGCUCCCCUCUCCCACAGUGCUUUAGGCCCGAACAAAAACCUCCCCCGUGUGUCCAGGGGACUCAGCUCAGAGCAGCAGGUGCCUCCUCGGGGUCCCCAGGGCAGAGCAGCCCCUGCUCUCUGGGCAGGCUCACACCUCCCAGGGCUUCCCCUUUCUGGUCCCCCGGAUCCCUCCUUUCUAACUUGUGA
This is a non-coding RNA of Antechinus flavipes (yellow-footed antechinus), 602 nucleotides long. The record is from the annotation of a RefSeq genome assembly. Lineage: Eukaryota; Metazoa; Chordata; Mammalia; Dasyuromorphia; Dasyuridae.